UCGCUGGUGGCUCAGUGGUAGAACUCUCACCUUCCAUGUGGGAGACCUGGAUUCGAUUCCCAGCCAAUGCA
RNAcentral lists this transfer RNA (71 nucleotides) under Loxodonta africana (African savanna elephant). It matches the Rfam family "tRNA". Rfam says of the family: Transfer RNA (tRNA) molecules are approximately 80 nucleotides in length. The record is from Rfam by way of RNAcentral. Lineage: Eukaryota; Metazoa; Chordata; Mammalia; Proboscidea; Elephantidae.